RNAcentral lists this transfer RNA (72 nucleotides) under Bos taurus (domestic cattle). It matches the Rfam family "tRNA". From Rfam's summary of the family: Transfer RNA (tRNA) molecules are approximately 80 nucleotides in length. Lineage: Eukaryota; Metazoa; Chordata; Mammalia; Artiodactyla; Bovidae. The record is from Rfam by way of RNAcentral. RNAcentral also lists the same sequence under 4 other names.
UCCCAGGUGGCUCAGACGGCAAAGCAUCUGCCUACAAUGUGGGAGACUCGGGUUCAAUCCCUGGGUUGGGAA